UGGGCACUCUAAGGAGACUGCCGGUGACAAACCGGAGGAAGGUGGGGAUGACGUCAAGUCAUCAUGGCCCUUACGGCCAGGGCUACACACGUGCUACAAUGGUCGGUACAAAGGGUUGCCAAACCGCGAGGUGGAGCUAAUCCCAUAAAACCGAUCGUAGUCCGGAUCGCAGUCUGCAACUCGACUGCGUGAAGUCGGAAUCGCUAGUAAUCGUGAAUCAGAAUGUCACGGUGAAUACGUUCCCGGGCCUUGUACACACCGCCCGUCUCUCCAUGGGAGUGGGUUGCUCCAGAAGUAGCUAGUCUAACCUUCGGGGGGACGGU
Molecule: ribosomal RNA, 323 nt
Filed under: Pseudomonas sediminis
Lineage: Bacteria; Pseudomonadati; Pseudomonadota; Gammaproteobacteria; Pseudomonadales; Pseudomonadaceae
Description: bacterial SSU rRNA
Rfam family: Bacterial small subunit ribosomal RNA
Source: RNAcentral